Molecule: small nuclear RNA, 104 nt
Filed under: Notamacropus eugenii (tammar wallaby)
Lineage: Eukaryota; Metazoa; Chordata; Mammalia; Diprotodontia; Macropodidae
Source: RNAcentral
GUGUUCACUUCAUCAGCAUCUAUACUAAAACUGGAACUGUACAGAGAUUAGCAUGGCCAUUGUGCAAAGAUGACAUGCAAAUUUGUGAAAUGUUCCAUAUUUUU